UACGGAGGGUGCAAGCGUUGUCCGGAAUCAUUGGGUGUAAAGGGUGCGUAGGCGGAUGUUUAAGUCUGAGGUGAAAUCUUGCCGCUUAACGGUAAAAUGGCCUUGGAUACUGGAUGUCUUGAGUGCAGAAGAGGCAGGUGGAAUUCGUAGUGUAGCGGUGAAAUGCAUAGAUAUUACGAAGAACAUCAGUGGCGAAGGCGGCCUGCUGGUCUGCAACUGACGCUGAGGCACGAAAGCGUGGGGAGCGAACAGG
This 253-nucleotide ribosomal RNA is filed under the name uncultured bacterium. RNAcentral describes it as "partial 16S ribosomal RNA". It matches the Rfam family "Bacterial small subunit ribosomal RNA", at positions 524 to 776 of the family's 1533-position model. The record is from RNAcentral.